Entelurus aequoreus (snake pipefish) is the source of this 2484-nucleotide long non-coding RNA. RefSeq lists it as uncharacterized. The transcript has 7 exons. The record is from RefSeq and is a predicted model, not a curated record. Lineage: Eukaryota; Metazoa; Chordata; Actinopteri; Syngnathiformes; Syngnathidae.
CCGUGAGACAAAGAAGGACGAAGGCUAACUAUUUCCAGAAUCCCGAUUUUAAAGCAAUUUGGUGCGCCAUCCAUUUAUCACAUAUAAGUAGAUUGAAAGAGUGAAAUACGAAGCACGUUUUUGUAUAACGAUUUCCAACCUACAUGAUUAAUUUCAGACCAUUUUACGGUUUUAGCGUUGUGUCAAAUGCAUACAUUUCUCGUGCAGGUUGGCUGUUAUAAAGUUUCCAAACUGACCAAAGACCAACGAAUGACUUCUGAAGAAGGGUGGAUUUAUCUGUAGCCUAGUUAAACAAUAAUUUGUCCCGUCAGUGUCAUGGUUUGAAUGCUGCCUGAACGUUCCGUGAACGUUAUAGUUCUGUGUGGGCGAUAAUAGGGCAACCCAUUUUCCUUGGUUUUUUUUUUAUAGAAUAAACACAAUGAAGAAGUUUCAACAGAGGGCUUAUAAGCGUAGAUGGGCUGCCACAACUAGGCAUUUGAAGAAGCAAUGCCGACAGUCAACUUUAGAAUUAGAGAGUGAUGAUAGCGAGCAAGAGAAUGACACGACAAUCUUAUCAACUCCAGAAACAGUGACAACCCUUCAGUACAUGGAUGCUGCGGAGACUGCUUCCUGCACUGCCGCGGGUGCUGACAAUGCCACCUACAGUGGCCCUGAUAGUGAUGAGCCUGAUGAAAAUGAUGCUGAUUGGAGACUAAUUGACCAUCAUGUCACCUUGUCAUCUGAUUCAGAAAAUGAGAGUGAUAGUGACUGCUUUGAAGAUCAUUUGAGUUUGUUAGCAACCGAAUAUCAUGUCAAACAUAAUGCAUUGGACAGCCUUUUGAAGCUACUCAAGAAAGUUUUCCAGAUGGCUCCUUCUUUUGUGGUCGUUGAGUUCCUUGGUGAACGUUCAGUCGCUGUUGUCCCAACUAUAUGGACAGAAGAUCAUGGAAAGGUUAUUACUUUUUCUGAAAAAAUAGCUUCUGCUAUUGGCCAAGGCCAAAUCCUACCCACUCCAGAAUCCGGAAAGCUGAGAUUCCUGACAAAGAAGUCUGGGAUAGGCUGCCAAUUCGAGUUUUCAGGAAAACAUUGACUGCAUACUUUGAAAUUUUGCAGAAGACUUUGACAAGGCCCUUCAAUACGAAAAACAAGCUGAAAUGUUUUCGAGCCCAGAAGAAGUGUCAACCAAACGGAGCCACAUCACCCCUGAACGUUAUAGAAACGAUGAGGAAGAUGUGUUUGAUGCUGACGACGAAGAGGAAAUUCGGCCAAAAAAGAAGUGCAGAAAAGAGAAACCACAGAUCCUCGUCCAGGCACCCCCACUGCCAGAGCUCCCACCAUUUAACUUUCCAAUCUCCAGCGAGUACCAGACCACUUCAGCCAGUACCAGCCAAUACCAGACCACUCCAAGGCAUCCAGGCCGACCUCACAGCCCAGCGAGAAGCAGCACUUCCAGGCUCAGUCCAGACAGGAAUAAUGCAUCCAGCUCAAGCAAGUACCAGACCACUCCAGCCAGUACGAGUCAGUACCAGACCGCUCCAAGAAGCAGCAGGAAUGCCCUUGACAGUGAACGUUAGUUGAUAGGUGGUGUUAAACAGGCUGUUACAACGGGCAGUAAUACGAAUUACCUCUUUGACUUUUGUUGUCUUUGCAGUUUUCCAAUUGAACAUGAAAGUUCAAAAUAUACUUGAGAACCAGGGAGAAAUUAUGCGCAUGCUGAGAGGGCUGGCAGCACAGUCUGUGGGGCCAGAAUCUGUGGAUGUUCAAGAUCUCAUUGAUAAGCCUUUCGAGACUCUUGAGCAGCUGAAGGCCUUCUGUGAACGGCUCGACACUGAUCUUCUGCUCAGAAAGCAGCUGGGAAUUAGUUUUAAUUCCCCACUGCAAAAAUAUCUUGCUCAGUUAUCAAAAAACAAUUUAUAAUCAAGUACAAUAUUGUUGUUUAUUUAUUUGUAUAGGUGAAAGCUCUUACUGCUCUUGGUGGGCAGAAUUUGGCAGACACGGUGAGGACAAUGCUGAGGAAAAUUGCCACAAACAAAGUCCUGGAGCAGCUUGGCCUCCGUGGAAAGUCAGGAAAAGUGGCGUUUGAGGACUUGCCCCUUUACAGAAUAAUAAAUAAGGCAUGCAGGGGUGUUUACAAGCAGACGACCACAGCUGAAGUGGAUUGUGAGCUUGGAGAGGUCCUGAAACUGGCCACUUUUCGAAAGGGAGGUUCAAAAUUUGAGGAGAAGAGGAGGAAUUAAGAGGGAGGACAAAAAAGGAAAAAGAAACAAGCAAAAGAACAGAGUGAGAUGAGAGGAUUUGGGUUUCCCUGCUUGGGCUGCUGCCCCCGCGACCCGACCUCGGAUAAGCGGAAGAAUAUGGAUGGAUUUACUUCCAGGAAGAGAACCAAGAAGGGCCAGGAUACCCUGACGCGCAUGACCAAGCCCACUGCAUUCCAUUCCAUUUGUAUUAUAGUUAUCACUAAUAAAGAAUUAUUUCUGUUGAAAUCACUAUCACUAAUAAAGAAUU